RNAcentral lists this long non-coding RNA (263 nucleotides) under Gossypium barbadense (sea-island cotton). RNAcentral's name for it is "long non-coding RNA (GBAR_LNC022612)". Lineage: Eukaryota; Viridiplantae; Streptophyta; Magnoliopsida; Malvales; Malvaceae. The record is from RNAcentral.
UGGAUGAAGAAAAGAUUAACUUCAUUACUUGAAUAAGCAAAAAACCAUAUACAUACGUAUUUCAAUUACAUUGGUAAAAAACAAAGUUUGCUUGUGCAAGUAUCCAAGAUGUUAAAUCAGCUUAAAGACAACCUAAAUGACUACUAAAUCAGCUAAGCACAUGAUUAAACCUUAGCUGAUCAAACAAAAAAAGAUUACAAUCAAAUUAGCAAAAGUCAACUAUUACAAAAGCUCUACAACUGAAUUACACCAUGGAUAUUUGC